This 363-nucleotide ribosomal RNA is filed under the name uncultured microorganism. RNAcentral's name for it is "bacterial SSU rRNA". It matches the Rfam family "Bacterial small subunit ribosomal RNA", at positions 346 to 692 of the family's 1533-position model. The record is from RNAcentral.
GUGCAGCAGUCGCGAAUCUUCCACAAUGGACGAAAGUCUGAUGGAGCGACGCCGCGUGCGGGAUGAAGGCCUUAUGGGUUGUAAACCGCUGUCAGGGGGGAAGAACAUCGGAAUGAACAAUACUCAUUCCGACUGACGUUACCCCCAGAGGAAGCUCCGGCCAACUCCGUGCCAGCAGCCGCGGUAAUACGGGGGGAGCAAGCGUUGUCCGGAAUUAUUGGGCGUAAAGGGCGUGGUAGGCGGCGAGGUAAGUCGAAUGUGAAAUCUCACGGCUCAACCGUGAAAACUGACGUUCGAAAACUACCCUGGCUUGGGGUACGGGAGAGGUGUACGGAAUUCCUAGGUGUAGCGGUGGAAUGCGUA